This is a long non-coding RNA of Thalassophryne amazonica, 109 nucleotides long. RefSeq lists it as uncharacterized. The record is from RefSeq and is a predicted model, not a curated record. NCBI's taxonomy places the organism in Eukaryota, Metazoa, Chordata, Actinopteri, Batrachoidiformes, Batrachoididae. The transcript has 3 exons.
UUUCAUAUAAAAACACCUACAGUCUAUGGUCAGGGAGGGUGUUCCACAGCCUCGGAGCAGCAGAGGAAAAGGCCCAAUCACCCAUGCUGUGAAACCUGGUUCUGUGGGC